GAGCUCGCAGUUGGUAGAGUGUGAGACUCUUCAUCUCUGGGCCGUGGGUUCGAGUCCGACAUUGAGCA
This is a non-coding RNA of Podarcis lilfordi (Lilford's wall lizard), 68 nucleotides long. NCBI's taxonomy places the organism in Eukaryota, Metazoa, Chordata, Lepidosauria, Squamata, Lacertidae. The record is from the annotation of a GenBank genome assembly.